This 496-nucleotide ribosomal RNA is filed under the name uncultured bacterium. RNAcentral describes it as "partial 16S ribosomal RNA". It matches the Rfam family "Bacterial small subunit ribosomal RNA", at positions 28 to 507 of the family's 1533-position model. The record is from RNAcentral.
GAUGAACGCUGGCGGCGUGCCUAAUACAUGCAAGUCGAGCGAACGGACGAGAAGCUUGCUUUUCUGAUGUUAGCGGCGACGGGUGAGUAACACGUGGAUAACCUACCUAUAAGACUGGGAUAACUUCGGGAAACCGGAGCUAAUACCGGAUAAUAUUUUGAACCGCAUGGUUCAAAAGUGAAAGACGGUCUUGCUGUCACUUAUAGAUGGAUCCGCGCUGCAUUAGCUAGUUGGUAAGGUAACGGCUUACCAAGGCAACGAUGCAUAGCCGACCUGAGAGGGUGAUCGGCCACACUGGAACUGAGACACGGUCCAGACUCCUACGGGAGGCAGCAGUAGGGAAUCUUCCGCAAUGGGCGAAAGCCUGACGGAGCAACGCCGCGUGAGUGAUGAAGGUCUUCGGAUCGUAAAACUCUGUUAUUAGGGAAGAACAUAUGUGUAAGUAACUGUGCACAUCUUGACGGUACCUAAUCAGAAAGCCACGGCUAACUACGUG